CGGCAGCCCCAGGUCCCGGGUCCCUCAGACAAAAGGGCGGGUGGAGGAGGAGUAGCCGAGCCCAGAGUCCUGCUCCGGCGCCGCCGAGCACCGCCCGCCUCAGCCGACCAGCCCCGUCGGCUACUGGGCCUAGCCGAGACCAGAGGAAGGAAAUGCCCCGGAGGCCACGACGAGGCGGCGGGGGCGCAGGCGGCCGGCUGCCGCCUAGUUGUGCUGCCCGGACCAAGGAAAGAGAAGUGGGAGGAGCGGGGAGCUCGGCGACCCUCCCGCCGUGGCGGUCGCAGCGCCGGCAGCUCGGGCCUCAGCCCCUGACGCUGUGGUGACUCCGCCGCGCCUCGCCGUCGCCCCUGUCCCCGUCCCGCCCGCCGCCCCGGCCACCCCCGCCACCCCCGCCGCCGGGGACAUGUCCAACCCCGGAAGCCGGAGAAACGGGCCAAACUGCGCUUGACAAGACUUCCUGAUCCAUUUGCUAAGGUGGUGGUUGAUGGAUCUGGGCAAUGCCAUUCUAUAGAUACUGUGAAGAAUAUGCUCGAUCCAAAGUGGAAUCAACAUUAUGACCUGUAUAUUGAAAAGUCUGAUUCAGUUACAAUCAGUGUAUGGAAUCACAAGAAGAUCCAUAAGAAACAAGGUGCUGGAUUUCUCCGUUGUGUUCAUCUUCUUUCCAGUGCCAUCAACCACCUCAAAGACACUGGUUAUCAGAGGUUGGAUUUAUGCAAACCUGGGCCAAAGGACAGUUAGAAGACGUAAGUCUUCAGUCCAGAGACCAAAUUGGCACAGGAGGACAAGUUGUGGACUGCAGUCAUUUAUUUGAUAAUGAUUUACCAGACAAGUAAGCCUCAUCUAGUUGAAUCUGAAGAUGUGGACCUGCUGAUGAAGAGGGCUGAUUGUAUCUAACUUAGGGUCUUGCAUGCAGCUGGCACUUAAUGCAUUUUAUUGACUGUUUUAGCUAACAUUCAAUGGACA
This 963-nucleotide long non-coding RNA is filed under the name Pan troglodytes (chimpanzee). RNAcentral describes it as "long non-coding RNA NONPTRT007191". Lineage: Eukaryota; Metazoa; Chordata; Mammalia; Primates; Hominidae. The record is from RNAcentral.